CCUGCAUUCAUUCUGUGAGGCUGUGCACUGCUGGUAGGAUUUUUCUUUGCCUACCGCAGUGAUUUCUGGGAGCCCUGACCAAGCUGCUGCCCUUGUGCCCGGUGAAUGUGUGCUGGCCGUGUGAAAACAACAGUGCAAAACCAAAGUGGGCUUCCUAACUGCUGAGCUUGGAGAGCAAGCGGAGGUGCUGAAGACACUCGAUAAUAAGGACAUUCAGAUGACAGCUGCUAAGGCUAUCGGGGGCACUUCCGUCAGGCAGCACAGCACGCCCUGCUCAGCAUCUCCAGGACAAAUUCUCUCUCUCUGUUCUCCGCUCUCUGCUGUCCAUCUACUGAAAACAAACAAUGCUGUGAGCAAAAGGGCACCCUGACCUGCUGCCACGUUACCCCGGGGAAAACACUGCCUGCACCUCCAGGGUUAACUGUUGUCAUCUCUUUUUGUGUUCACACCAGUUAAAUUUAGGUGAAAUCUGUUCAAACCUAGGCUAAAGAUGGAGCAGGCUUCUCAUGUCAGAAGGCUACCACUGACAGAAUCAAGUACAACCAGAACUGAGAAAAAUUCCCUGCAGCAACCAGAAACAGCAAAUAAAUGGACAACGACCAUCCUGCAGGAGGACCCUGCAGGCACUGUGCACACCUCAGCGAGCAGAACUUGUGCGUGCAGCAAAGUGCCGCUGGGGUAAGCCCAGCCCUUCUGCCGUGUCCCCGCUGUGCCUCGGCACUGCCAGCAGGCAGAGGUGUUCCUGGGAGUACAUCUGCAAAGCCACAAACACUCUGUGCAGAACUGUUCGUAGUACGAUGGGCUCUGUAUACCUAACUCCACUCACCUCAACAAGCCCUGCCACAUACAAUGGGUUUUAAUAAACCGGUGAACAGAAAUUCUGUGAGAGGCAAAAUUACAGCUGUGCAAUUAUGCUAUCACUCUGGAAUCUCACCUGCCUCUCCCUCCUAGCGACUUCAACAGGCAU
Phasianus colchicus (ring-necked pheasant) is the source of this 967-nucleotide non-coding RNA. Lineage: Eukaryota; Metazoa; Chordata; Aves; Galliformes; Phasianidae. The record is from RefSeq and is a predicted model, not a curated record.